GUUGAACGCUAGCGGCAUGCCUUACACAUGCAAGUCGAACGGCAGCACGGGGGCAACCCUGGUGGCGAGUGGCGAACGGGUGAGUAAUGCAUCGGAACGUGCCCAUCGAUGGGGGAUAACUGCGCGAAAGCGUUGCUAAUACCGCAUACGACCUACGGGUGAAAGCAGGGGACCGCAAGGCCUUGCGUCGAUGGAGCGGCCGAUGCCGGAUUAGCUAGUUGGUGAGGUAAAGGCUCACCAAGGCGACGAUCCGUAGCUGGUCUGAGAGGACGACCCAGCCACACUGGGACUGAGACACGGCCCAGACUCCUACGGGAGGCAGCAGUGGGGAAUCUUGGACAAUGGGCGAAAGCCUGAUCCAGCAAUGCCGCGUGUGGGAAGAAGGCCUUCGGGUUGUAAACCACUUUUGGCGGGAAGAAAUGGUCUGUGCUAAUACCACGGAUUGAUGACGGUACCCGCAGAAUAAGCACCGGCUAACUACGUG
RNAcentral lists this ribosomal RNA (484 nucleotides) under uncultured bacterium. Its description in RNAcentral is "bacterial SSU rRNA". It matches the Rfam family "Bacterial small subunit ribosomal RNA", at positions 28 to 507 of the family's 1533-position model. The record is from RNAcentral.